Molecule: microRNA precursor, 152 nt
Filed under: Picea abies (Norway spruce)
Lineage: Eukaryota; Viridiplantae; Streptophyta; Pinopsida; Pinales; Pinaceae
Description: miR11415 stem-loop (pab-MIR11415)
Source: miRBase by way of RNAcentral
AGAUAAUUUGGUCUUCUCGGAAGGCAGCAGCUAAGUACAGAAAGCACAAUUGCAGAUUAACGUUGUAGUUGCCCAGUGCGUCAUAACUCAACCUGACGCAAUCAUAGCUAGCUUGAAGGCCUUGCUGCAGCCUCUGGACUGCCAAGUCCCAC